AAUAACAAUUUUAAUUAAUGUCUUUAACAAUUGUGUUUUCUUUUAAUCGCAUUUUUUUUGAUAAACUAGAAAUAUAUUUUGCAGUUAUUUUUUUUUAGAAAGUUGCAAUCUGGAUAAAUGUCUUCUACUGUUACAUCUUUUUUUAAUCGUAAAUCUUCAUAAACGGUUGCAACUAUUUAGUUAAAGCAUUACAAUAUUUAAUUUAUUUGAAAAAUCAUUGCAAUUUUUGGUUUAUUUAUGAAUCGUUAUAAUAUUUAAUAAAUUGGAUUCUAAUGUAAUGCCAAGUUAGAUUAUCAAAAGCUAGGGUAAUGAUCAUACAUCUCAAGAUGUCGCGAAAAUGAAGCUAGUAAGGUAAAAUUCGGCAAUCGCCAAAAAAUCAGAGUCUAGAUUUGUAAUUUUAAUUGCAUCUUCUUCUUUUUGGUCAAUAGUAACAUCUGGUCAUGGAAAGUGUUCUGCAAAAGUAUGUUUAUGCAGCUCCUAGUAGAAUGAGUACAAGAACGGAAGAAACACUACAUGCUUAGACUUUUGAUGAUGAUAAUAAAAGUUUACCAAAAAAGUGAAUCCAAAACUGAAAAAGAAAGAAUUAUAACACUUAAUCUGAGAUUAAUAACUUGAAAAUUUUAAAGCUUAACUCAUAUUACAACAUAACAAAUAACAUGCAGUAUUCUCAAAAUCUACAUAUACAUUUUUGGUAGACUUUUUGGCCAAAAAUCUCUCAACUAUUUACUAAUAACAUUUAGAUCCUUACAAAAUAUAUCUCAACUAGAUAUUCUAAUACUAAAAAUUUACAAUUUGUUAGUUUGCAUUAAAUACUUAAAUUAACUCUUUUCUAUAUUACAUAUUUAGUCCCUACAAAAUCUAUCUAAAAAAAA
RNAcentral lists this small RNA (872 nucleotides) under Arabidopsis thaliana (thale cress). Its description in RNAcentral is "ATSL083470". Lineage: Eukaryota; Viridiplantae; Streptophyta; Magnoliopsida; Brassicales; Brassicaceae. The record is from RNAcentral.